GAAGGUGACCCAGGAAGUAUUCCAUGCUAUUCCUUUACGUAACCUGGGGUAUAAAUAAGGCAUAGACAAGAGAACUCGCUCUCUUCCUUUCCGGUGAGGUUUGAGAACACUGGGUCCCUGCCUUGGUCUUGCUUAUCUGGAGCUGAGGCCUGCAGUGACUGCUGUUGUCAGCCAUGUGUGAGGGGAGGGUGCUGGGCCACGUUCAGCCAUCCUGCUUCUCUCAAGGGAAGUGGUGAGAUUUUGCCAGUUCUUUAUUUUGCUGGUUUACCAGAUAUUUUAGAUUGUGCAUACCUGUUUUGCUUCUGUCCCUUUUCAUCCUUUUUUUGGUCCUUUUUUCCCUUCUCCCUUCCCCUCUUCCCUUUUAGGAAGCUAUUUGGGGUUUCUGGGGUUAUAGGUAUAUAGUAUUCUCACUGUAUAUAUCUGUUUUAUGUGUAAAAUAUAUAUUUUUGCUAUAGCUUUGGCUGUUUGGUUUUUCCUUUUUUUUUCUUCUCUCUUUGGGAAACAGGCUCUGUUGUCGAGUUUCGGAGACUUGACGGGAAACCAGCUCCAGACUUGCACAAGGUUACAAAUAGGUGGCUUCAACUACUACGUUUGCAUCUCUUUGUUGUAAGUUUUCCUGCAUCUUCCCAUUUUUGACCACGCUUUCUUCCUAUGCUCUCAUGCACAAGACAUACAUUAAUGAUCAGGAAGCUGACUAAUUUACUUCUCUGUGGAAGCUAUGAAAUGGACUUUAAAAGUCACAGCAUGAACCAUGGAUUUCAAAGUGGUCUGUACAAGCUGUAGGGGUCCACUUGUGCACAUCUCACAAUGGGACUCUAGCUCAGUCUUCAAUGAUUGACAGAAAGAUGCAUCAGAGGAAAUUCUUGUCAUAUGCAAUUCUCAGCAGUCCCUGUUGAACAAUAACUACAACACCCAACAAUGUGAGUUUUUGAAUGUAACUUCUUGGCAACAUUCCACUUCAAUCUGAGGAAAUGACUGAACCUCACUGGCAUGAUUUAUUUGUGCUGAACCCAAGGCAAACACUAGCUGACUAUUUAGGUCAUUGCUUUGUAAAAUACUGAAACAUUUUAAAUUUCUAUCGAGUUUUUAAACAAAACAGUUGAUUUAUUAAUGAGUUGUACUUGUAUGGAAUUUGAGAGGGGUGAUUUUUUAUAGUUCUGGUAUAAUAAAAUUUCAGCAUCAGGUUUGCUUAGGAGUGAAAAAUAAGAACAGCUCUAAAUCAAUGUCUGAUUUAUACUUUGUGGUAAAAUUAAAAAAGUUAAUGAGUUCUGAACAGUAUGGUCUUUCCCUCAAAUCUUUGGUACAACAAUUACUGGACAGAAAGCUCAAAAAGUUAAAAAAGACAGAAAGCUCAAAGCCACAGCUUAAACGAGAAGCAAAUUAUUCUGAUUUUUUAUGAUU
Long non-coding RNA from Pseudopipra pipra, 1401 nucleotides. RefSeq lists it as uncharacterized. NCBI's taxonomy places the organism in Eukaryota, Metazoa, Chordata, Aves, Passeriformes, Pipridae. The record is from RefSeq and is a predicted model, not a curated record. The transcript has 3 exons.